Molecule: unclassified non-coding RNA, 343 nt
Filed under: soil metagenome
Description: partial contains 5.8S ribosomal RNA, internal transcribed spacer 2, and large subunit ribosomal RNA
Rfam family: 5.8S ribosomal RNA (bases 1-120)
Source: RNAcentral
GAUGAAGAACGUAGCGAAAUGCGAUAAGUAAUGUGAAUUGCAGAAUUCAGUGAAUCAUCGAAUCUUUGAACGCACAUUGCGCCCGCCAGUAUUCUGGCGGGCAUGCCUGUUCGAGCGUCAUUUCAACCCUCAGGCCCCGCCUGGCGUUGGGGAUCGGCGCGGCCCUCUCCGGGCUGCCGGCCCCGAAAACUAGUGGCGGUCUCGCUGUAGUCCUCCUCUGCGCAGUAGCAACGCUCGCACAGGAACUCGGCGCGGCCACGCCGUAAAACACCCCACUUCUGAAAGUUGACCUCGGAUCAGGUAGGAAUACCCGCUGAACUUAAGCAUAUCAAUAAGCGGAGGA